Molecule: ribosomal RNA, 753 nt
Filed under: uncultured Comamonadaceae bacterium
Lineage: Bacteria; Pseudomonadati; Pseudomonadota; Betaproteobacteria; Burkholderiales; Comamonadaceae
Description: bacterial SSU rRNA
Rfam family: Bacterial small subunit ribosomal RNA
Source: RNAcentral
AUUGAACGCUGGCGGCAGGCUUAACACAUGCAAGUCGAGCGGGGAAGGGUAGCUUGCUACCUGACCUAGCGGCGGACGGGUGAGUAAUGCUUAGGAAUCUGCCUAUUAGUGGGGGACAACAUUCCGAAAGGAAUGCUAAUACCGCAUACGCCCUACGGGGGAAAGCAGGGGAUCUUCGGACCUUGCGCUAAUAGAUGAGCCUAAGUCAGAUUAGCUAGUUGGUGGGGUAAAGGCCUACCAAGGCGACGAUCUGUAGCGGGUCUGAGAGGAUGAUCCGCCACACUGGGACUGAGACACGGCCCAGACUCCUACGGGAGGCAGCAGUGGGGAAUUUUGGACAAUGGGCGAAAGCCUGAUCCAGCCAUGCCGCGUGCAGGAUGAAGGCCUUCGGGUUGUAAACUGCUUUUGUACGGAACGAAACGGCCUUUUCUAAUAAAGAGGGCUAAUGACGGUACCGUAAGAAUAAGCACCGGCUAACUACGUGCCAGCAGCCGCGGUAAUACGUAGGGUGCAAGCGUUAAUCGGAAUUACUGGGCGUAAAGCGUGCGCAGGCGGUUAUGUAAGACAGUUGUGAAAUCCCCGGGCUCAACCUGGGAACUGCAUCUGUGACUGCAUAGCUAGAGUACGGUAGAGGGGGAUGGAAUUCCGCGUGUAGCAGUGAAAUGCGUAGAUAUGCGGAGGAACACCGAUGGCGAAGGCAAUCCCCUGGACCUGUACUGACGCUCAUGCACGAAAGCGUGGGGAGCAAACAGG